GAUGAAGACGCAGCGAAAUGCGAUACGUAGUGUGAAUUGCAGAAUUCAGUGAAUCAUCGAAUCUUUGAACGCACAUUGCACCUCUCGGUAUUCCGGGAGGUAUGCCUGUUCGAGCGUCAUUUGUACCCUCAAGCUCUGCUUGGUGUUGGGUGUUUGUUCCGCCUCUGUGUGUGAACUCGCCUCAAAACAAUUGGCAGCCGGCGUACUUGUUUCGGAGCGCAGCACAUUUUGCGAUCCAGAUCAACGUACAGCGGCAUCCAAGAAGCCUUAUUUAACGCUCUUGACCUCGGAUCAGGUAGGGAUACCCGCUGAACUUAAGCAUAUCAAUAAGCGGAGGA
Molecule: unclassified non-coding RNA, 338 nt
Filed under: soil metagenome
Description: partial contains 5.8S ribosomal RNA, internal transcribed spacer 2, and large subunit ribosomal RNA
Rfam family: 5.8S ribosomal RNA (bases 1-119)
Source: RNAcentral